This 77-nucleotide transfer RNA is filed under the name uncultured Rubrobacteraceae bacterium. Its description in RNAcentral is "tRNA-Asp-GTC". It matches the Rfam family "tRNA". From Rfam's summary of the family: Transfer RNA (tRNA) molecules are approximately 80 nucleotides in length. Lineage: Bacteria; Bacillati; Actinomycetota; Rubrobacteria; Rubrobacterales; Rubrobacteraceae. The record is from RNAcentral.
GGGGGCGUAGUUCAGUUGGUUAGAACGCCGGCCUGUCACGCCGGAGGCCGCGGGUUCGAGUCCCGUCGCUCCCGCCC